RNAcentral lists this long non-coding RNA (862 nucleotides) under Musa acuminata (dwarf banana). RNAcentral's name for it is "long non-coding RNA (MACU_LNC001835)". The record is from RNAcentral. Lineage: Eukaryota; Viridiplantae; Streptophyta; Magnoliopsida; Zingiberales; Musaceae.
UGUUACUCUGCAGAAGACAAAUCCGGUGCUCUAAUGCAAAGCAGGUAAAACUAUACAUACUGCUUGCAUCUAUCUGCACAGUAUACACAUAUAUUUGUGAUGAUGCAGAUUAGCUUAAAAUAUUCAAGCUGAGGUUGAUAUUGAUUGAUGUAUUUUUUUAUAUAAUUGAUAUGAUUGCAUGAAAAAUCUCUUACUGUAUCAUAAUAUAUUCCUUAAUUCUACAAAUAUUUUAUCAAUCUCAUAGAUAAGAUAGAUAAUGAACCUAUUAAUUUUGUAUAGCUCAAAUUAGUGAUCUAAAAUGUUUGAACUCAUCAUAUCCUUAUCGAUCAUUCAAAGUCUUAAUCCACUCCAGUUUACUUGUGUGCCUUUCUAUGAUAUGUGCCCCCACCCAAUUUUCCUUUUCUACAAAACUACAUCAUUGUGAUAUUGACAUGCAAAAUGGGCCACAUUAUGAUUUGAUAUGCCCUCACCAUUAGGCUUAGCUUAUCAUACAAUCUAUGUGUCUUGCAGGUCUUGGACACCCUACACACAGUCUCAAAUGAUCUAUGGCAUCGAAUCUAAUUAAUCUGGUCAUCGACAAGCAUAGAUAUACUGGUGACAAGUAUAUAUCAAUCCAGCGUGGAAGCCAAUUCCACUUCACCAAAGUGACAACAUCGAACUAGCUACCACCUCCCUCAAUCGAUUGGGUACAACAGUCCCAUAUAUCCCAAGCUUUAAUGUCGUAUGUCACCUACUGUUCCGCUUUGUACAAUAAUAGGGUCACCAUUCAUCUCAUCUCGAUAGAGCACUUUGUAAUGAUGAAUGCCACCCAUAGUCUUGUAGGCCAUGAAUUGGAAUGGGUCCUUCCGAGAAAUUAUUAUCU